Molecule: ribosomal RNA, 301 nt
Filed under: Ditylum brightwellii
Lineage: Eukaryota; Bacillariophyta; Thalassiosirophyceae; Lithodesmiales; Lithodesmiaceae
Description: partial Bacterial large subunit ribosomal RNA
Rfam family: Bacterial large subunit ribosomal RNA
Source: RNAcentral
UGCAAGUGGUAGGAGAGCGUUCUGUAAGCCUGUGAAGGUGAGUUGAGAAGCUUGCUGGAGGUAUCAGAAGUGCGAAUGCUGACAUGAGUAACGACAAUGCGAGUGAAAAACUCGCACGCCGAAAGACCAAGGUUUCCUGCGCAACGUUAAUCGACGCAGGGUUAGUCGGUCCCUAAGGCGAGGCUGAAAAGCGUAGUCGAUGGAAAACAGGUUAAUAUUCCUGUACUUCUGGUUAUUGCGAUGGAGGGACGGAGAAGGCUAGGCCAGCUUGGCGUUGGUUGUCCAAGUUUAAGGUGUUAGG